UAACAUUCAAGUACAAGGACUCUGUACGUGUAGCUAUAUGAAACCCACACUGGGAAUUCUAGCCUGGGCAGUUGUGGCUCACAAUUAGAGUGUUGAAGCAUAGAGCUGCUUAGUGUUACGAUGGCAAGAUAAGGGCUCCUGUUUGCAGGUACAAGAUUCAAUAGUUUGGCGUCUUCAAACAGCACCAUUUUCUUUUUCUUCCUUCCAAAAUAAAACAAGUAAACAGAAAUAAACAGCUACAGAUUGAAUGCACUGACUGCUUAACUGUAUUAGGUGGCUUACAGAAACGUGGUCUCACUAUUACAUAUAUCACUGGCUUCCUGGACUCUUGAGUUACCACCAGGGCUAAAGCCACCAUGGGUAAGGGGACAGCUGUACUAUUGUAGUAGGAAAUGCAAAAAACAUACCUUAGGGACUUGGAACUUGACUCAGAUCAGCCACUUGGGGGAAGCAAGUAUGCCCUUAGGUGUGAAAGAUUGGUCACAUCUCUUCAAGAUUCUCAAGGGUGCCUGUUAUUUUAUUGCAGAUCCUGGUUUAAAAGUCUGAAUUUUACAAAGAAAAACUGGCCUUAGUUUUUGGUCUAAGUUGUAAAACACAGUCAGGUAAAUGAUGGUAUGGUUGGCCCACCUGGGAUUUCUGUUCUUCAUGUGUAUCAAAUAUAUUCAAAGACACCAAAGCAAGCCAAGGAAUUUUAACUUUAAAUUGUUGUUACUGUCGUGCUGUUGAGUGUCAGUUGUCUGUAACCUUAAAUCCUGCCUGGCAGUCUAAAGCCACUUAGCCUCCCUCCCUUUCCUGUUUCUGGACCAUCAUUCUCUUGCAAUUUCUGGUUGCACUGUGAUAGCACAAUUGCAUCCAGUGCAAUGUGUGGUAGCAUUUAUAAAAUCACAUUGCUGAAGGACGAUCGGUUCUUAAUGACUUCAUUACUCAGACACUUAGGCUUCAAUAUGUGGCUGGAGAGAAGGCAACCCUGAGACCUCGAGGCAAGAUGCUAUAAAUAUAAGGUAUCAUUUCCUGACCUGCUGAGCACGGCAGGUAUUGAUCAUAGCUGCUGUGCAGAGAACAGGUGGAAAGAGACUGGCCAUGGUGGCAGGAAGGGGUAUUUGGUGGCAUAGAUUAUUAGUAAUGACUGAUUAGGUAGAAAAAUGAUUGUGGGUAUAUUCCAGUUUUGUGUUUGAAGUGAUGGAAAGAUACAACAAUUUAAAGCCAUACUGCAAACUCUUAAGUGCUGGGUGGAAAACGUGUAUGUUUAUAUUUUUGAGAUAGAAGUGUAGUUCAAACAAAAUGACUGAUUUCUUUUAUUUUCUAGCUACAUGUAGCACUUAGUACAUAUUCAGACACAGUUAACAAAUGUGGACCAAAGAACUUCUUAUUGAUGAAGCUAUUAGAGCUCUUUGGUUGAAGAAUAUUCAUUUUACACAUACUCUGAUUAUUUCUUUGAUUUUAUGUUUUUUGGUUCACCAUGUUGCAACAGUCUACUCCCAUGGUUUACUGUGCUGCCCUGGUUAUUUUUUGUUUGUUUGAUUGUUUGUUUUAGGGGAAAAGUUACCACUUAACUCCAUACUGAUUUUAAAAAAGCCAUUUAUACGCUCAGAACUUCUUUUUAAAAUGUGACUUGGCUAAUUUGUAGUUCAACCAGAAAAAUGUUGGAACUCAGUGCGUGAUGGUGCGCAUUAAUGAGAAACUACGUUACAAUCCUUAUUCUUCAUUUUGGAUGUCUGCCGUGGUGCUGUGGUGGACAGAAGCAUUUGGGCUUCUGUUGGUGUACUUCUGUCACUUCUGUCACACACAUCCUCGAGUGUCUUAUGCCAGGUUUCCCUUUCUUCCCUUUAACUCAGUCAAAGGGCCCAGGAACUGGGUGGUGAGUGUCUAGUGGGUGAGAAGGAGGUCCACUCACAGCAGGUGCCCUUUGGGCACAGUGUUCAGGCAGCAGGGAGGAAACUCUGGUGCCUCUAAACACCAUUGUAAUACUACAUGGUUCAGAUUCCCUGGCAAUUAACCAAGGUCAUUUUCCUAGGGUUUCUGAGGCUAGACACAGUCACACCAGGGGUGCUGGUCCUGGUGGCUGAGACCCACUUUCCCACUCUGACUAAAAUUUGCAUUUGGUGUACACCUUGAGCAUUGCAAACAACACAUGAAAGUCAGAAAACACCCCCCCCCUCCCCCGUAGGCUAUGGAAUCCACUUCUUGCUCAGGAAUGUAAGUUAGAUGCUCAAGGUCACAGUGAAUCUAAAAAAACGCUGUGCUGGUCUGGAGUGCUGGGUACAUUUGAAAGGGCUGAGCUCUGAGUACUGGCCACUUGUCAGUGGUCUUCCUAAUGUCUAACUAUAGUCAUUCAAGCCCAACAUGGCCCUUUCUACAGCUUGAUCACAAUGUGGAGUGUCAGAGUUCCAUUGAAGAAUAGAUAUUUACUCAAGCUCUUGAAUUAAAAAUCGAUUGGGAAAGGGCUUCUCUGUGAUUUUUAUCUGGCAUUUUCUCUGGUUAUAUAUCGAUUUUCUAAGCCCCUGUUUGAAUUUGGUCAUUUGGAUUUCCAUCUGUGUUUUUUAAAAAUCAGCCAGUUAAUCAAUCAAUCUACCAGCCAGUCAAUCAAUAUCAGUCAGUAUGCCUGGCACUGUGCUAAGUAGGUUACAAAUAUGGGCUCAUUAUUUUCUAUGCAUGAACCUUAGGUGACAGGUGUAGGUCAUUGUCCUUACUUUAUGAAUGUGGACACUGAUGGUUCUUCUUCUUACAAAGUUGACAAUGUGUUUUUGUUUGUUUGAUUUUGGUUUUUUGUUUGUUUUUUUUUUCAAACAUAGCCUGUAAAGUUCUUAAAGGAUGGAGGCAGGCAGAGAGUGCUGUCGAAAGAGAAAGAGGGUAAGAAAGAAGUACUACAGAGUCCCUAGGGCAAGUCAGAGAAAGCCCAGGAAAGAAGAAUAAUCCACAGUGAGGCCCCUCCAUGAGACAGUGGGAAUAAUAGACAUUUCUGUGGCAUAUUUGCAUGAAUUCAGCCAAGCUAACACCAGGGGAAAUACAUGUUCUUAUAGCAUAUGAAUUCACAUAAUAAAUGAAACAUCAAACCCCUUCAGAAGUUCUUCUUUUAAUUAAUUAAUGUAUUCUAGAGUCUACGAAGAGAAUACUAAUAGAGCCAAGUGUGGUGACAUAUGCCUGUAAUCCCAGCACUAAGGAGACUGAGUUUGAGGUAAAUGUCAGAUUCAUGGUAAACUUAUAAGUAGUCUAGCCUGGGCUACAGCGUGAUACCUCGCUCCUUUAAGUGUAGCCUGGGCUACACAGCAUGAGCCCUCGCUCCUUUAAGAACAUUACAGGAUGUGUCUG
Molecule: long non-coding RNA, 3309 nt
Filed under: Mus musculus (house mouse)
Lineage: Eukaryota; Metazoa; Chordata; Mammalia; Rodentia; Muridae
Description: long non-coding RNA chr13:43617842-43621151
Source: RNAcentral